Long non-coding RNA from Pipra filicauda (Wire-tailed manakin), 588 nucleotides. RefSeq lists it as uncharacterized. The record is from RefSeq and is a predicted model, not a curated record. The transcript is spliced from 3 exons. NCBI's taxonomy places the organism in Eukaryota, Metazoa, Chordata, Aves, Passeriformes, Pipridae.
CAUAGGGAUAUUUUCAGUAUUUGGAGCUACAGGGAAAGUGUAGCAAAAGAGUCGCCUUCAAAUAGUUUGAUUCUUCCCACCCCUUGUAAUUUUCUGAGACACAGGAAACUGAAUGGGUUCUCCAGCUCUUUUUGCACUCUUUCAAAUGAUGUACAGAAGCUAAGCAACCUGCUACUUAAUAGGAGAUGUCCUUUUGCUUGAAACACGGGAACAUUCCUCAAUGCCAUUCAAAGCAAGAAAUGGUCUAAUCCCCUGCAAGUUGCCUCUGCAGACUCCUCCUCAGUGGUGAGGCUGAAGUGUUGGUGAUGUUGUCAUGUCACAGAAAGACUGCUCCUGCUUCUCACAUGGGGAUUAGUUGAGCAAAAGGGGUUGAGCCAAAGCACAUGAGCAAAUCUGUGUAAAACUGUACAAGGCUUAACAACUGGAAAAUUAAAAGUGUUGGUAUGAGAUUUAUGUUCUGUCAAAACCUUUUAGCUAAUUAAAGGUAUGACCUACUUUCUUUUGCCUCCAGAAGCACUGGAUGGUUUAUGGAAAGCAAGUAAAUUGGUUGAAGAGAAUCGGUACCUUGGCUUUAAUUUCACCAAAGGA